UCUGUUGUUGUGGUUGGAGCUUCUGUUGUUGUGGUUGGAGCAGCUGUGGUUGUAGUUGCAGCUGCUGUGGUUGUGGUUGGAGUUGCUGUUGUUGUCGUUGGAGCUACAGUUGUUGUGUUUGGAGCAAAUGUUGUUGUGGUUGGAGUAACUGUGGUUGUGGUUGCAGCUACUGUAGUUGUGGGUAGUGCUUCUGUUGUUGUAGUCGUAGCAGUUGUCGUUGUGGUUGGAGCAGCUGUGGUUGUGGUUGGAGCAAAU
Molecule: long non-coding RNA, 255 nt
Organism: Xiphophorus hellerii (green swordtail)
Lineage: Eukaryota; Metazoa; Chordata; Actinopteri; Cyprinodontiformes; Poeciliidae
Exons: 3
Source: RefSeq, a predicted model, not a curated record